RNAcentral lists this ribosomal RNA (497 nucleotides) under uncultured bacterium. RNAcentral describes it as "partial 16S ribosomal RNA". It matches the Rfam family "Bacterial small subunit ribosomal RNA", at positions 28 to 507 of the family's 1533-position model. The record is from RNAcentral.
GACGAACGCUGGCGGCGUGCCUAAUACAUGCAAGUCGAACGCUGAAGCGAGGAGCUUGCUCUUCUUGUGUGAGUUGCGAACGGGUGAGUAACGCGUAGGUAACCUGCCUUUUAGCGGGGGAUAACUAUUGGAAACGAUAGCUAAUACCGCAUAACAAUGUAUAACACAUGGUUUUUAUUUGAAGGACGGAAUUGCUCCACUACAAGAUGGAACUGCGUUGUAUUAACUAGUUUGGUAGGUAAAGGGUCAACUAAGCGACGAUACAUAACCGAACUUGGGAGGGGGAUGGCCAACACUGGAACGGAGAACCGCCCAGAAUUCUACGGGAGGCAGCAGUAGGGAAACUUCCGCAAAUGGGGGAAACCUGAACGAACAACGGCGCGGGGAUGAAGGAGGGUUUCGGAUUGUAAAGCUCUGUUUAUAGGGGAGAAAGAGAUGGGGAGUGAAAAGUGCACACUGUGACGGUACCUAAUCAGAAAGGCACGGCUAACUACGUG